AUUGCCUUCGAAUAACCAGAGGGUGAAAUCAAUGUAAACGCCCUCUGGUUCAGACAGAGGCUGAAACUAAAAUGGGAAUCAGUUUGAGGGUGAGGAACGGUUUCCCGAUUGUUCUUUGCCUAGAUAGCUUCCCACAUCG
Eucalyptus grandis is the source of this 139-nucleotide non-coding RNA. The record is from Rfam. NCBI's taxonomy places the organism in Eukaryota, Viridiplantae, Streptophyta, Magnoliopsida, Myrtales, Myrtaceae.